Molecule: transfer RNA, 73 nt
Filed under: Clavispora lusitaniae
Lineage: Eukaryota; Fungi; Ascomycota; Pichiomycetes; Serinales; Metschnikowiaceae
Also listed under: 1 other name
Description: tRNA-Arg
Rfam family: tRNA
About the family: Transfer RNA (tRNA) molecules are approximately 80 nucleotides in length.
Source: RNAcentral
UUCCUCAUGGCCCAAUGGUCAAGGCGUCUGGCUACGAACCAGAAGAUUCCAGGUUCGAGUCCUGGUGGGGAAG